This 254-nucleotide ribosomal RNA is filed under the name uncultured bacterium. RNAcentral's name for it is "partial 16S ribosomal RNA". It matches the Rfam family "Bacterial small subunit ribosomal RNA", at positions 524 to 776 of the family's 1533-position model. The record is from RNAcentral.
UACGGGGGGGGCAAGCGUUGUUCGGAAUUACUGGGCGUAAAGGGCUCGUAGGCGGCCAACUAAGUCAUACGUGAAAUCCCUCGGCUUAACCGGGGAACUGCGUCUGAUACUGGAUGGCUUGAGUGUGGGAGAGGGAUGCGGAAUUCCAGGUGUAGCGGUGAAAUGCGUAGAUAUCUGGAGGAACACCGGUGGCGAAGGCGGCAUCCUGGACCACGACUGACGCUGAGUGAGCGAAAGCCAGGGGAGCAAACGGG